AGAGUUUGAUCCUGGCUCAGAUUGAACGCUGGCGGAAUGCUUUACACAUGCAAGUCGAACGGCAGCACGGGAGCUUGCUCCUGGUGGCGAGUGGCGAACGGGUGAGUAAUGCAUCGGAACGUACCUUUUAGUGGGGGAUAACUAUCCGAAAGGAUGGCUAAUACCGCAUACGCCCUGAGGGGGAAAGCAGGGGAUCGCAAGACCUUGCGCUAAUAGAGCGGCCGAUGUUCGAUUAGCUAGUUGGUGAGGUAAAGGCUCACCAAGGCGACGAUCGAUAGCUGGUCUGAGAGGAUGAUCAGCCACACUGGAACUGAGACACGGUCCAGACUCCUACGGGAGGCAGCAGUGGGGAAUUUUGGACAAUGGGGGCAACCCUGAUCCAGCCAUUCCGCGUGAGUGAAGAAGGCCUUCGGGUUGUAAAGCUCUUUCGGCAGGAACGAAACGGUGGUUACUAAUACUAGCUACUAAUGACGGUACCUGAAGAAGAAGCACCGGCUAACUACGUGCCAGCAGCCGCGGUAAUACGUAGGGUGCGAGCGUUAAUCGGAAUUACUGGGCGUAAAGCGUGCGCAGGCGGUUUUGUAAGACAGAUGUGAAAUCCCCGGGCUUAACCUGGGAACUGCGUUUGUGACUGCAAGACUUGAGUGCGGCAGAGGGGGGUGGAAUUCCGCGUGUAGCGGUGAAAUGCGUAGA
This 693-nucleotide ribosomal RNA is filed under the name uncultured bacterium. RNAcentral's name for it is "bacterial SSU rRNA". It matches the Rfam family "Bacterial small subunit ribosomal RNA", at positions 8 to 694 of the family's 1533-position model. The record is from RNAcentral.